This 416-nucleotide small RNA is filed under the name Oryza sativa Japonica Group (Japanese rice). RNAcentral's name for it is "sRNA Os02g0176650". The stretch from base 174 to 286 matches the Rfam family "MIR2863 microRNA precursor family". Lineage: Eukaryota; Viridiplantae; Streptophyta; Magnoliopsida; Poales; Poaceae. The record is from RNAcentral.
GACUUCUAACCAUGCUACCUCUUAGGCUGACUGUAUACUGAGGUUGAAGCCAAUCCGACAGAUGUUUCAUCCUCUCUUACUCAUGAAUUGGGCCUGACGCCGAUGUAAACAAAGAUUAGGAACUUAGACAUACACUUCACUAGUUGGCUAGGGAUGAGUGUGGGCUGACCCGUGGAUACUCUUUUACCCACACUAGUUCAACUAAAUGAACUAAAUUUCACUUUUAGAAUCACAAAAAAUGAAAUGUAGUUCGUUUAUUUGGACUAGAGUGGGUCAAUUAGUACCUAUGGGUUGGCCCGUGGCCAGUCUUGGCCGCAUUCAUGCAUCAUAGUACGCUACUGAGCACAUCUUCUUUCAAAGUAUUACACGGAGAUGUCUAAAAAUUUGAGCUAAAUGACUGGGAGGUUUAUUAGUGU